RNAcentral lists this ribosomal RNA (465 nucleotides) under uncultured Streptococcus sp. RNAcentral's name for it is "bacterial SSU rRNA". It matches the Rfam family "Bacterial small subunit ribosomal RNA", at positions 338 to 795 of the family's 1533-position model. Lineage: Bacteria; Bacillati; Bacillota; Bacilli; Lactobacillales; Streptococcaceae. The record is from RNAcentral.
CCUACGGGGGGCAGCAGUAGGGAAUCUUCGGCAAUGGGGGCAACCCUGACCGAGCAACGCCGCGUGAGUGAAGAAGGUUUUCGGAUCGUAAAGCUCUGUUGUAAGAGAAGAACGAGUGUGAGAGUGGAAAGUUCACACUGUGACGGUAACUUACCAGAAAGGGACGGCUAACUACGUGCCAGCAGCCGCGGUAAUACGUAGGUCCCGAGCGUUAUCCGGAUUUAUUGGGCGUAAAGCGAGCGCAGGCGGUUAGAUAAGUCUGAAGUUAAAGGCUGUGGCUUAACCAUAGUACGCUUUGGAAACUGUUUAACUUGAGUGCAGAAGGGGAGAGUGGAAUUCCAUGUGUAGCGGUGAAAUGCGUAGAUAUAUGGAGGAACACCGGUGGCGAAAGCGGCUCUCUGGUCUGUAACUGACGCUGAGGCUCGAAAGCGUGGGGAGCAAACAGGAUUAGAUACCCGGGUAGUC